GAUGAGAACGUAGCGAAAUGCGAUAAGUAAUGUGAAUUGCAGAAUUCAGUGAAUCAUCGAAUCUUUGAACGCACAUUGCGCCCGCCAGCAUUCUGGCGGGCAUGCCUGUUCGAGCGUCAUUUCAACCCUCGAGCCCCCCCGGGGGCCUCGGUGUUGGGGGACGGCACACCAGCCGCCCCCGAAAUGCAGUGGCGACCCCGCCGCAGCCUCCCCUGCGUAGUAGCACACACCUCGCACCGGAGCGCGGAGGCGGUCACGCCGUAAAACGCCCAACUUUCUUAGAGUUGACCUCGGAUCAGGUAGGAAUACCCGCUGAACUUAAGCAUAUCAAUAAGCGGAGGA
This 342-nucleotide unclassified non-coding RNA is filed under the name soil metagenome. RNAcentral describes it as "partial contains 5.8S ribosomal RNA, internal transcribed spacer 2, and large subunit ribosomal RNA". The stretch from base 5 to 119 matches the Rfam family "5.8S ribosomal RNA", at positions 40 to 154 of the family's 154-position model. The record is from RNAcentral.